UAAAAUCUCAUAAAAGACUUUGUAUUUAAAAACAAAAGGAGUAGUUGGCAUGCAUGAUGAUACUUUCAUUACGACCAGCGCGAAAACGCAAGUGCUUCUGCAUCUUCGAUCACACCAGAAGGCACAGAUUGGUUCAGAAGUUCCAGCCGCUACAGACAUAAAUUUUGUGAUGUAACAUCGACGAAACACACGACAUUGAUUACAUCAGUCAUCAUUCCGAUAGAAGCAACAGCUGCAGGUAGACACUUAACAGAAUAUGCGAAUAAAGCUACCCAUGCUAGUACAAGUAGAACCCUCUCCAACAGAACUCUUCCCAGCCUUCACAGAGCACAUUCCGGCAACCGAAACCAUCGACUAUAAUGGAUACUGCAGACAGAACACUUGCACUUCCUGUAAAAUCUUAGGCGCCGAAACAUGCAGGCACGUCUGAGUUCAGAGGCAGGAAAAGGGAUCGUCAGAAGACAAAUCUGAUCCCGCUUCAAUGCUCCAAGAACUUCCGAUAGGAUUGCCACUGAUCUCGAGUCGCACUUUGCAGUUCGUAUUGGCCCAGCUAGCACAGCUAAGAUCCCCCAGUUUGGCAACCACCAUCUGCCUCUCGGUGUAAGUUAGGUCUUGUUUAAUUUGGAUGAUCAGCCUCUCCAGCUUUGGUGCGUUCUCCACGAUGAACAUGAUGAAAUCAAACUCGUCAUCAUUCCCUUGUAGCUCACAGAAAGACAGAGUUUUGAGGUGCGACCCGACACACUCAAUAGGACUUGUCCCCUGCCAGAACUUGAGACUGCGAUUGCUGGUGGUUUCAAGAAAAGACUGCAAUUCGGGUAAGCAAACAAUUCAGCUGCACAUGGUGCUGAUUAUGCAGCAGCAAUCUGAUUCAAUGUACUGAUGAUGCUCCAAAUGCCAAAUGAAGCAAGAGGUGGGGUUACCUCGAUAAUCAGUGUGUCCAAGUUAGGAAAGCAUCUGAGGAAGCUGGGAAGCAUCUUGACUUGAUUGCGAUCUCCAAAAUGCAGUUGCAAAGCCAACAUC
This 1020-nucleotide long non-coding RNA is filed under the name Hordeum vulgare. RNAcentral describes it as "long non-coding RNA (HVUL_LNC015125)". The record is from RNAcentral. Lineage: Eukaryota; Viridiplantae; Streptophyta; Magnoliopsida; Poales; Poaceae.